Long non-coding RNA from Diceros bicornis minor, 951 nucleotides. RefSeq lists it as uncharacterized. The transcript is spliced from 4 exons. The record is from RefSeq and is a predicted model, not a curated record. NCBI's taxonomy places the organism in Eukaryota, Metazoa, Chordata, Mammalia, Perissodactyla, Rhinocerotidae.
GCCUUGACUCCAGCAAAGAUUCGCCUUGAGACGGAGGCCAAGAAGGGACAAAUUAACCUGCAGAAGGACAAUUUCACCUUGACUGAUACUUUAUUAUUCUCAUUAUUCCAGUUGUUCUAGCAUCAGUUAUUGAAAGGAACAUGCUUUCCCCCACAGCAUUGCACUGGCAUAUUUGUGGAAAAGCAAGUGACAAUCUUUGCCAAGGGAACACUAUGAACAAAGAAAUGAAGGCAUGAAUGUGUAUAGUAUUCUUGGGGAAUGGCAAGCACAAGUGAACACAGAGAGGUAGAAUGGAGUGGAAAAAAUAGAUCGUACCACGAUUAUGGGUUAAAGGAUGCCUUGCUAAGAAAUGACUCAUCUGCAUACUUGAAUGAUAACCACAAUUAAUUCUACCACCUUAAAAAAGAUUACAUCUGCAAAACUAUAAAACUCCUAGAAGAUAAUAUAUAAGAAAACCUAGAUGACCUUGAUUACGGUGAUGCCUUUUUAGGUAUAACACCAAAGACAUGAUCCAUGAAAGAAAUAAUCGAUAAGCUGUAUUUCACUAAAAUUAAAAAUUUAUACUCUGCAAAAGAUAACACCAAGAGAAUUGGAAGACAAGCCAUAGGUUGGGAGAAAAUAUUUGCAAAAGACACAUCUGAUAAAGGACUGUUAUCCAAAAUAUACAAAGAACUCAUAAAACUCAACAAUAAGAAAACAAACAACCCAAGUGAAAAAUGGGCCAAAGACAUUAACAGACACCUCGCCAAAAAAGAUAUACAGACGGCAAAUAAGCAUAUGAGAAUAUGUUUAACAUCAUAUGUCAUCAGGAAAUGAAAAUUAAAACAACAAUGAGAUACUACUACACAUCUAUUAAAAUGGCCAAAAUCUAGAACGCUGACAGUACCAAAUGCUGGUGAGGAUGUGAAGCAACAGGAAUUCUCAUUCAUUGUUGGUGGGAAUGCAAAAUAG